This 73-nucleotide transfer RNA is filed under the name Marmota monax (woodchuck). RNAcentral's name for it is "tRNA.Undet". Lineage: Eukaryota; Metazoa; Chordata; Mammalia; Rodentia; Sciuridae. The record is from RNAcentral.
GGACAUAGCUCAGUUGGUAGAGUGCUUGCAUGACUUCACAUGCAAAAGGUCCUGGGUUCAAUCCCCAGCACCA